This is a non-coding RNA of Monodelphis domestica (gray short-tailed opossum), 2846 nucleotides long. The record is from RefSeq and is a predicted model, not a curated record. Lineage: Eukaryota; Metazoa; Chordata; Mammalia; Didelphimorphia; Didelphidae.
CAAAGGUGAGAGAGGUUUGGAGACUUGCCCCGUAAGGGUUACCCAGCCAGUAACAGUCCAAGGUAGGAUUUGAACUCAGAUCUUCCUGACAACAAGUUAAGAAGUCUCUUCAGUGCCUCUUUGCUGUGUCCUCUGCUCUGGAAGGUUGCAGAAUGCACUGAUGGAAGGAUGGUUCUAUAUUCUGUUUGCAAUUCACUAUAGAAACCUAAUAAAUGUUCAUUCUAAUCCCACUGUGAGAAGUUAUAGGCACAUAUCAAGAGGAAAGCCCAGUGGAUUCUGACUUUAACUAUUAAAGAUUUAAAAUAGCAUUCUGAGAAAAGAAUCUUGGCCUUAAUAAGACUGACAAAGGAUUUUAGAACACAUGAAAGGUGAAGAACCCUUGGUCAAGAUUUUUCUGGAUUUCAAAAGAUACCUUGUGAUCAACUUCUGAAUGUCUUCCCAAUUUUGUGACCACCACCAUAGAUCUCCUCUACAACACCUCAUAAAAUAGAGAAAAGCAAUGGAAGGGAGAAUGAUCCUUAAGGGAGCUAAUUAGGGGGGAAAGAGGUGUUUUCCUGAAUCCUGAAUGAGUUGGCAUUCUGUCAUGUGGAAGCCACCUCUCCCAGGUGUUCCUUAACUAACAUACACCCACGCACUCUCCUGGUAUGAACAAGGUAGAGAAGGAAACUAAAUGAGUGCACCUUGUGGAAGUAUGGGAAAUAGACUUCAAUCCUCAACUUGUAAAGCUCUGAAGACCGAAGAGCAGAAAUGAUGGCUUCCUGGACAACAGGUCAACAUCAAGUGCAGCAUUCUUGCAGAUCCCAGACUGCCUCAAGAAAGACAAACAGGACCACCCCAAUUUCUUGAUUCAUCCCCCCAGAAGACUAUACACUGGCCUAUCAGGAGGUUUUGCCAUGAGUGGAAUGCCCCAGUAUGAAAGCCUUGCCAGAUGUUAAUGGCCAUUACCACCUAGUCUAAGGAAGAUCACACAAGCUGAGGUGAUGCCCAUUUCAGAUGCAUGGAUUUUAUUUACUUUAUUAUUUAGAAUACAAUGUAGGGCUCAAAAGUAGACAUUUGAACAGGACAAAGAGAAUCAUUAUUCCAUGCUUUGUGCCUAGAUAAGGGUAAUAGGUAAGAACUUGUAAGUGGAGGUUUUCUUUUCCUUUCUCUGCUUUUGGGCUAAGAGAGAGGAUACAUAUGCAUGGUUCCAGGUUUUCUGGAAAAGGUCCCUAGAGGAAGAAAAAAACUCUAGGAAGAAGCCAAGGAGUGAGAGCCUUGAGUAUGUCCCUAAUUCUAACUUGCCACACUAGAGACUUCAGGGAAUUUCUAUUUCGAUAAGAUCAGAGACUAUUUCAAUUGAUUUAAGAUAAUUUCUUCCCACUGGGAGAGCCCAUUCACUCUGGUUUUUUUUUUUUCUAGUGUAUGCUAAUCUGUAUAAUUUCUCUAUUUCUGUUUGCAAUAGCCUUGGAUAAAUGGAGUUUAUUGGCUAUGGACUGUGGGAUGAUCUUUGUGUAACUGGCAUUUGGUGGGAUGGGAAGCAAGCCUUUUGACAUAGCGUAGGGCACUCCUCUCAUAAUGUAGUGGCUUGAAGGAGAGUGAUUUGAACCCAAGAAUUAUUUUCUGUAGACAAGCAAUAUUUAGAGAGGCAUAUAGAUUUUAGUUUGGUAUCUCUUCUCUGAGCACAGCAGAGCUGGCCAGCCUCAUGGCCCUCUUUCCUGCUCCCCCUAGGCAGGGCUCAAUAUCUCCCUAGGAGAGGGAUGAAGGAAACUCCAGGUAUAUAUAUAUAUAUAUAUAUAUAUAUAUAUAUAUAUAUAUAUAUAUAUAUAUAUAUUCAUGGCUCUCUGCAAGCUGCAUUUAGAAAGAUCCACGUGGACACGCACACAACCCACAUGGGCAACAAAUACAUUUUACAUUAACAUUCUGAUUCAAGUCUUAUACCAUAUGUCCUUGACUUCAAGUCAAAUCAAUGAAAUUUAUAGGCAGUGAUAAAAUUAAGGAAAGGAGGGGGAGAUUUCCUAGUAGAAUUGAGUCUGAGUCAUGAUCUGACUGGUCAAUCCACAUGCGUAAACCCAAGACCAAGGAGACAAAUAUUAUUAGUACCUACAAAGGAGUGGAAAAUAGAAGGAAAGGGGGAAAGAGGCAGCCAGCUUCGGAGAGCUGAUUUCCUAUGAGAGUGCCUGUUGUUGGGCAGUACUUAUGACAGAUGGGGGAAUAAACAUUUGGUUGACAGAACCUGAUCCUUACAAAGCAAUAGGUUUGGCACUGAUUAUAAUGUUUCCUAUUUGUUAUCCUUAGAAUUCAAUUAAACAAAUAUUCAUUAACUACCAUAUGCUAGGGGAUUAAAGACAAAAAUAAAAUAGACCGUGCCAUCAAAGAAUUUAUAUUCCACUGUUAUUUUUUAAAGCAUGUUUCCACAUCAUAGAAAAACAUAGAUGGGAUCUUCAAUCUCAAAGAGAUUGCAAAAAUCAUUGAGUGGGGGGAGGAGGGGUAAGAUCUUCUGCAGUCUAGAACCCAAAAAAUGUCAACUAAAUUUUAGCAAAUUUUUUAUAUAAUCUACUCUUUCUACAGGAAAUAAUGAUGAUAAUAUACAAAUUGCCCAAGUAUUUCUCCUUAUUAUAAAACCAGUCCAGCAGCUUUGUUUAAUAAAAGGUUAAAAUUAUGAGUCAAGAUUUUGAGCUGCAUUGUCCAGAUUUGGACUUCCCAGAUUAAUACCCUCAUGCUUGCAUUUCAUGUCUGUUCCUUUGUCAUACAACUGGCCUCUGCAGCUGUUGAUAGUUAAUCCAUGAUUCUCUAAAAUAGAUGCUAAUAAAUUGGGUAGAGCCUCUCCCACUGUGUCCACCUCAGGAAAGCACAAUUAUAUUUCUUUG